CCUACGGGUGGCAGCAGUGGGGAAUAUUGCACAAUGGGCGAAACCCUGACGCAGCAACGCCGCGUGAGUGAGGAAGUAUUUCGGAAUGUAAAGCUCUAUCAGGAGGGAAUAAAAAGGAUGGUACCUGAAAGAGAAGCCCCGGCUAACCACGUUCAAGCAGCGGCGGGAAUACGCAGGGGACAAGCGUUAUCCGGAUGUACUGGGUGUAAGGGGAGCGUAGGCGGCAAGGUAAGUCAGAGGUGAAAACCCAAGGCGCAACCAUGGGACUGCCUUGGAUACUGUCAAACUAGAUUGCGGGAGAGGUAAGAGGAAUGCCUAGUGUAGCGGUGAAAUGCGUAGAUAUCAGGAGGAACACCAGUGGCGAAGGCGUCUUACUGGACCGAAACUGACGUUGAGGCUCGAAAGCGUGGGGAGCAAACAGGAUUAGAUACCCUAGUAGUC
RNAcentral lists this ribosomal RNA (441 nucleotides) under uncultured bacterium. RNAcentral's name for it is "partial 16S ribosomal RNA". It matches the Rfam family "Bacterial small subunit ribosomal RNA", at positions 338 to 795 of the family's 1533-position model. The record is from RNAcentral.